This 492-nucleotide ribosomal RNA is filed under the name uncultured bacterium. RNAcentral's name for it is "partial 16S ribosomal RNA". It matches the Rfam family "Bacterial small subunit ribosomal RNA", at positions 29 to 507 of the family's 1533-position model. The record is from RNAcentral.
AGUGAACGCUGGCGGUAGGCCUAACACAUGCAAGUCGAACGGCAGCACAGUAAGAGCUUGCUCUUACGGGUGGCGAGUGGCGGACGGGUGAGGAAUACAUCGGAAUCUACUUUUUCGUGGGGGAUAACGUAGGGAAACUUACGCUAAUACCGCAUACGACCUACGGGUGAAAGCAGGGGAUCUUCGGACCUUGCGCGAUUGAAUGAGCCGAGGUCGGAUUAGCUAGUUGGCGGGGUAAAGGCCCACCAAGGCGACGAUCCGUAGCUCGACUGAGAGGAUGAACAGCAAAACUGGAACUGAGACACGGUCCAGGAUCCUUCGGGAGGCAGCAAUGGGGAAUAUUGGACGAUGGGCGCAAACCUGAGCCAACCAUACCGCGUCGGUGAAGAAGGCGUUCGGGUUGUAAAUCCCUUUUGUUGGUAAAGAAAAUCAGCCGGUUAAUACCCCGCUGUUCUGACGGUACCCAAAGAAUAAGCACCGGCUAACUACGUG